This is a long non-coding RNA of Microplitis mediator, 3572 nucleotides long. RefSeq lists it as uncharacterized. NCBI's taxonomy places the organism in Eukaryota, Metazoa, Arthropoda, Insecta, Hymenoptera, Braconidae. The transcript is spliced from 2 exons. The record is from RefSeq and is a predicted model, not a curated record.
GUUCAAUAUUCGAGCGUCGUGUGGCGCGAGUAAAAUAGGUCUUUCUCUCGAUAGCUCGACGAAACUAUAGAACGAUGUCGAAAAAUCAGCUGUUGGACUUUUCAGCAUGAUUUUACUGUGCUGAAAAGUAAUUGCCUAUAGGAAAUGUAUACAAAUUACCUAGCAACCGUCGUUCACUCGAGUUAGAAAAAGAUGGUGAUACUUUUUUCUCCAUAUACUCCUACUGUCGCAUUUAUCCUGAAAUUCGCACAUGCGCAAAUAGAAAGACGACAAUUGGAAACCUGCAUAGUGAUCAUAUGUUUCUUAUUCUUAUUGAAUAUCAUAACUUGUGUGUUUGUAUUGUGAAAAUAAUAUUAUUAUCAUAUUAUUAAUCGUUCAAUAAAAAUUUUCACAUUAUUAAAAACAGUCAGAGAUUUUAAUUAAUAAAAUUAAUAAACUAAUUAAUAGAAUUCAAUUGAAAAAUAAAACAUGAAUAGAUUGUUAUUAUUUACACUUGUACAAUUGUUUAUAUUUAGAAGGAGAUGCUCUCGGGACAUCAGCACGUGUGAAAGCUGAUACCGAAGAUGGUCCCCAGCUGCUUCUAUAUCUCGUGUGUUGAGUCGGUGGAAAACGAUUCGAGUAUGACAUUUUUUUUUAUCAAUUAAUAAUAUUUAUUUUAUUUAAUUUAAUUUCCUCCACUUGUUCAAUGAUGUCUGCAAAUUAACUCUGCAAAAAAAAUAAUAAAUAGUUAAUUAAAUACUCAAGUAAUGAUUAAGUUGUUUUUUUAAAUUCAAAUGUCUCUUUGACGUCUCUCCCUAUAUUAUUGUAAUAACAUGAGUAUAUGAGUGGACACGAUUGUAGUAUAUAUGUAUAUAUAAAUACGAAUAAAUGAAUUUUUAAAAUGAUAUGUAUAUAUAUGUAUGUGGGUGCUAGUAGUGAGUAUAUACACUCACGUUUCUCGUGGUACAGCUCAUGCACGAAAUAAUUCUCAAUGUUCUUUAUGUAAUGUCACUUUGAAUUUAUUUCGCCUACGGCAUGUUUAUACUACAUAUUAAUAGUUAAACAGAGACGGGUUUAUAUAUUAUGUGUUUUAGGCGUGGGAAUGUUUUUAUUAUUCUUUGAUAUAAAAUUAAAAACAAAUAAAUUUUGUAUUUAUUAUUUUAGUUAAUUGUUAUUAAUAUUUUUAUUGUUUUUUUAACAAUGAAUUAGGUGAGGACUUAAAAUUAAGAUGCUGUGGGUGGUCCAGAAAUUAAUCAUGCGUGAUGCGAUUGUUCAUAAAGCAUAAAUUUUACAGACAUUUCAGUUUUUUUUAACGAUAUAUAGAAAAAAAAGUUAUGGGUUUUAUGAAGUGGUGAUGUAUGAGAUUUUUUGUGGUAUAUAAAUAUUUUGAAGAUGUCGAGAAAUAGAUUUCGUAAUGGGUAGUGAGUUAAAAUUAUUUUGGAGCUCAAAAAUAAGGGUUUAAAAAUAUAAUUUUUUAGUUUUAAUUUUUGGGUUGCUUUCAAACGGCUGUAACUUGGUAAAUAAUAACUUUAGGUGAAUUUUUAUGAGGGAUGAUCUUGUAGGGAAUUAAAUCUUCUAUAAAAAUGUACUCUAUAUAAAUUUACGUAACACUAAUAUUUAAAGAGUUAUAGCCAUUAAUAGUUCAAAUUCAAUUUAAAUUUUGAGAUUAUCGGAGUACUCAUCAUUUUGAUUUAUUUAAUUGGCUGUAACUCAGUAAAUAACAAUUUUACGUGAAUUUUCAUGAGGGAUGAACUUGUAGAAAAUUAAAUUUCCUAUAAAAAUGUACUCUGUGAAAAUUUACGUAGCACUAAUAUUUAAAGAGUUACAGCCAUUAAUAGUUCACAUUCGAUUUUAAUUUUUAGAUUAUCGGAGUACUCAUUACUUAAAUAUGUUUAAAUGGCUAUAACUUGGUAAAUAAUCAUUUUGAGUGAAUUUUUAUGAGGAAUGAACUUGUAGAGAAUUAAAUUUCCUAUAAAAACGUACUCUGUGAAAAUUUACGUAGCACUGAUAUUUAAAAAGUUACAGCCGUUAAUAGUUCAAAUUCAAUUUAAAUUUUGAGAAUAUCGGAGUACUCAUCAUUUAGAUAUAUUUAAAUGGCUGUAACUUGGUAAAUAACAAUUUUACGUGAAUUUUUAUAAGGGAUGAACUUGUAGAGAAUUAAAUUUUCUAUAAAAAUGUACUCUGUAAAAAUUUACGUAGCACUAAUAUUUAAAGAGUUACAGCCAUUAAUAAUUCACAUUCGGUUUAAAUUUUGAGAUUAUCGGAGUACUCAUUACUUAAAUAUGUUUAAAUGACUGUAACUUGGUAAAUAAUUAUUUUACGUGAAAUUUUAUAAGGAAUAAACUUGUAGAGAAUUGAAUUUCCUAUAAAAAUGUACUUAAUAAAAAUUUACGUACCGCUAAUAUUUAAAAAGCUACAGCUACUUUAAAUUUUAGAAACUAAAAUUCUUAAUAUUUCAGUUUAAAAAAUAUUUUCAAAUUCGAAAGUAAAAUAUUUAUUUAAAAAAAUUUUACUAAAUUAAAUUUAUAAACAACUUACAAGAUGAUAUCAAUACAGUUUUAUUUUUAUUAAAUAAAAAUAAAUAGUAAAAUAAAAUAAAUAAAUAAAAAUUUAUUAGCAUGUAAAAUUAGUGUUGAAAUGCAUAAAAAGAACUGGACCGUAUCUAUUAUAUGGCAACGCAUGCCCAAGUAGACGUGUGUACGGGUUUCCUGAUAUACUUGAAUGAGGAAACAUGAACAAGAAUAAGAAGAAGCCCAACUACUUUCGAAUAAACAAACUCUCGGAUGAUUAAUAAAAAGUUUAAUUAAUUAACCACUAGAAGAAAAUAGAAAAAAGAAAAUAAAAAUAAAAAGUUAAUAACAAUUUCUAAUUACCUCUAUAAUUAACACAAAUUACUUUUUAUGCUAAACAGAUAAUGACUUGUGCAAAUUUCGUUUAAAAAAUAAAUAUCAAACUGUUACAUCAUUUAAGAUCAAUAAAUUAUAUAUUUAAUAUUUAUAUGCAAGUUGACGUUCAACUUCUUUAUAAAUUUUACAAAAAAAUAAAAAAAUUAUCUGUUAAUUUUUAAGUCAUCUAUUAGUUUGUAAAUAAAAUUUUUUUCUAUAUAAUUUAAUUCAUUAGAAGAUUAAUUAUAGCAGGUAAUUAUAUUAAUCAUAUUGAUGAGUAAAAUACAAAAAGAAAGAGAAAAAAAAUACAUUAAGCGGUGAAAUAAUUCGCCGUUACUGAUAUAAUAUUGAAGCAGCAAUAAGACAGUUUUGGAGCGUGACCGCGAGUUUAAGUAAAAUAAAGUUGAGUGUUCUAGUAUUUAAACACAGGAAGAACUUGCAAUCAUAGCACUACAUACAGUACAUAGUGUGAUAUGUACAUGUUAUGUAUUUAAAAUAAAACCCCAAAGUAUGUUAUUGUUAUUAAAAAAAAACUCAUUACAAUUCGCUUCAUUUUAUUCUGUAUAUUUACGUUAUCUGGAAAUAAAAAUAAACGUGAGUUAAUAUGGUUAAUUGCUAGUAUUCAACAAUGUAAUAAAAAAAUUAACUGUAGCAUAAAUCAUAACAAACAUUUAUGUGGAAAUAAAAUAUUCGUAAUUUAUAUAGAAA